This 292-nucleotide ribosomal RNA is filed under the name uncultured bacterium. RNAcentral describes it as "partial 16S ribosomal RNA". It matches the Rfam family "Bacterial small subunit ribosomal RNA", at positions 505 to 796 of the family's 1533-position model. The record is from RNAcentral.
GUGCCAGCAGCCGCGGUAAGACGUAGGGCGCGAGCGUUGUCCGGAUUUAUUGGGCGUAAAGAGCUCGUAGGCGGCUUGUCGCGUCGUCCGUGAAAACCCACAGCUCAACUGUGGGCUUGCGGUCGAUACGGGCAGGCUGGAGUUCGGUAGGGGAGACUGGAAUUCCUGGUGUAGCGGUGAAAUGCGCAGAUAUCAGGAGGAACACCGGUGGCGAAGGCGGGUCUCUGGGCCGAUACUGACGCUGAGGAGCGAAAGCGUGGGGAGCGAACAGGAUUAGAUACCCGAGUAGUCC